GCCCAUGUGGUAUGGUGGCGGUAUUGGAAACAACCGUAACACUUCUGUAAGUGUAGGACACCUUAGCCUCAUGGGUUU
Molecule: non-coding RNA, 78 nt
Organism: Flavobacterium sp. ov086
Lineage: Bacteria; Pseudomonadati; Bacteroidota; Flavobacteriia; Flavobacteriales; Flavobacteriaceae
Source: Rfam